GGGGAGGCAGCAGUGAGGAAUCUUCCGCAAUGGGCGAAAGCCUGACGGGGCAAUGCCGCGUGGAGGAUGAAGGCCCAAUGGGUCGUAAACUUCUUUAGAUCAGAGACGAAGAAAUGACGGUACCUGAAGAACUAAGCAUCGGCUAAACCCCGUGCCAGCAGCCGCGGUAAGACGGGGGAUGCGAGCGUUAUCCGGAAUGAUUGGGCGUAAAGGGUCCGCAGGUGGCCCGGUCAGUCCGCUGUCAAAGCCUGGGGCUCAACCCUGGAAAGGCGGCGGAGACCACCGGGCUUGAGUCCGGUAGGGGCAGAGGGAAUUCCCGGUGGAGCGGUGAAAUGCGUAGAGAUCGGGAAGAACGCCAAGGGCGAAGGCACUCUGCUAGGCCUGAUUUCGCGACUGACACUCAGGGACGAGAGCCAGGGGAGCGAAUGGGAUUAGAUACCCCAGUAGUCCUGGCCGUAAACGAUGGAUACCAAGCCCUGCGCGUAUCGACCCGGGCAGGGCUGUAGCUAACGCAUGAAGUAU
RNAcentral lists this ribosomal RNA (522 nucleotides) under uncultured Klebsormidium sp. RNAcentral describes it as "bacterial SSU rRNA". It matches the Rfam family "Bacterial small subunit ribosomal RNA", at positions 342 to 867 of the family's 1533-position model. Lineage: Eukaryota; Viridiplantae; Streptophyta; Klebsormidiophyceae; Klebsormidiales; Klebsormidiaceae. The record is from RNAcentral.